Molecule: small nucleolar RNA, 104 nt
Organism: Equus quagga
Lineage: Eukaryota; Metazoa; Chordata; Mammalia; Perissodactyla; Equidae
Product: small nucleolar RNA U13
Exons: 1
Source: RefSeq, a predicted model, not a curated record
AUCCUUUUGUAGUUCAUGAGCGUGAUGAUUGGGUGUUCACGCGGCUGUGUGACAUGUGCCACCUACAAACCUUGUUACGACGUGGGCACAUUACCCGUCUGACG